RNAcentral lists this ribosomal RNA (279 nucleotides) under Triticum aestivum (bread wheat). Its description in RNAcentral is "partial small subunit ribosomal RNA". Lineage: Eukaryota; Viridiplantae; Streptophyta; Magnoliopsida; Poales; Poaceae. The record is from RNAcentral.
AUUGCACGUGCACGCUUACUAGUACCUGCGCCAUCUGUCGUUCCUAUGUUAGACAAUCUUAGAGUAAUUUUUUGGAAUGUGCGUGGUCUAAACAGCCGGGCCGAGCACUCUGCUGUCCGCACGGUGAUCUCUGACGCCUCCCCUUGUAUUGUUUGCCUCCAAGAAAUGAAACUCUCUUCUGUCUCGUCGGCGAUUGUUCUUGAGACUCUUGGUGGCCUCUUUGAUGGUUUCUUCUGGCUUCCGACUGAUGGUACACGUGGAGGGAUCAUCUUAGCCUAG